Molecule: long non-coding RNA, 189 nt
Organism: Helianthus annuus (common sunflower)
Lineage: Eukaryota; Viridiplantae; Streptophyta; Magnoliopsida; Asterales; Asteraceae
Exons: 3
Source: RefSeq, a predicted model, not a curated record
GAUUGAAUCGUCUCUUGCCUGAUUCAUGUAGUAGACUGUUUGGAAGAUGCAAAAGAAUGCUUUAUUUACUGGUCUGUUAAAUCAAUAAAGAGUUUAAACAAAGAUUCUCCUCAAAGUGUAGAACCAUCUCACCAUUCUAUGGCUCGCUGAUAAACAAUUUUCUCAGAAUACAACCAAGCAUGUUACUUU